GCGGGAGUAGCUCAGUGGUAGAGCCCCUGCCUUCCAAGCAGGUUGUCGCGGGUUCGAUCCCCGUCUCCCGCUCCA
Molecule: transfer RNA, 75 nt
Filed under: Dehalococcoidia bacterium
Lineage: Bacteria; Bacillati; Chloroflexota; Dehalococcoidia
Description: tRNA-Gly
Rfam family: tRNA
About the family: Transfer RNA (tRNA) molecules are approximately 80 nucleotides in length. Their secondary structure includes four short double-helical elements and three loops (D, anti-codon, and T loops).
Source: RNAcentral